AUGGAAUGGAUCCAUGCCAGGAUUCACUUUUCCUUCCCAUGCUGGUUCCAGUCCAGUAAACUGUCACAGUCUGGGAAAUUCUGUCACUGGUGAUGCCGCAGAAAGAAAACACUAUGGAUGCACAUGAUGCUACUUCCUGGAUGGUGCUGAGCCUGUUUGUCAACAUGUGGAACCCAUGUGUACUUGAGGGAGUUGUCUCCCUUGAUAAAGUUCAACAAUGGCGGAUAAACAAUGUGGGAUGCUGUCUUGUCAACAACAGUGAAAUUUGACACCUGUAUACCCGUAUUUCUACCAAUUGUCUCAGUCUUCUUUGUUGUGUACAUCAGACAGAUGAUGGACCACUCUACUUCUUUUCACAACAGGUGCCCCUACAGAUUCACAAAGUUCCAAUGUUGAAUGUCCAUGACCCUGGUUGAUCCGCGACAGGAAAAGGAAUAAAGUUGGCAGGAAUUUCCGCACUGUCUUUGGUAGCAGCUGAUGAUGGAACUGACAGCAGUUGACAUGGCCUGUUUCUUCAAAGAUGCACCAGAAGCAGCAGCACUAUCUCCAUCACUGGUGAAAUGGGAAAUGACAAGUGGACGGUCAUCACUUUGCAGCUCAACGAUGCAUUCCGCAGCCCAUCUCUUUUCAUCUUCUAUGGUGAUCUCAGGAGGAAUG
Magallana angulata is the source of this 657-nucleotide long non-coding RNA. RefSeq lists it as uncharacterized. The transcript is spliced from 7 exons. Lineage: Eukaryota; Metazoa; Mollusca; Bivalvia; Ostreida; Ostreidae. The record is from RefSeq and is a predicted model, not a curated record.